Molecule: ribosomal RNA, 449 nt
Filed under: uncultured bacterium
Lineage: Bacteria
Description: bacterial SSU rRNA
Rfam family: Bacterial small subunit ribosomal RNA
Source: RNAcentral
AAUCAACGCUGGCGGCGUGCCUAACACAUGCAAGUCGAACGAGAAAGGGGACCUCGGUCCCUGAGUACAGUGGCGCACGGGUGAGUAACACGUGACUUAUCUACCCUCGAGUGGGGAAUAACUUCGGGAAACCGAGGCUAAUACCGCAUAAUACCCACGGGUCAAAGGAGCAAUUCGCUUGAGGAGGAGGUCGCGGCCGAUUAGUUAGUUGGCGGGGUAAUGGCCCACCAAGACGGUGAUCGGUAUCCGGCCUGAGAGGGCGCACGGACACACUGGAACUGAAACACGGUCCAGACUCCUACGGGAGGCAGCAGUGGGGAAUUUUGCGCAAUGGGGGAAACCCUGACGCAGCAACGCCGCGUGGAGGAUGAAGUCUCUUGGGACGUAAACUCCUUUCGAUCGGGACGAUUAUGACGGUACCCGCAGAAUAAGCUCCGGCUAACUUCGUG